CCUACCCCUACAGUUUGUACUUGUGUGACGGCUGCGUCACAUGUGCAGCAGUAGGUGGCAGAGAGGUGAGAGGCUCUGCCUAUGUUCAGUGUUCUGACUUAUGAACAUCUGAAUGACCAAUAACCUAACAUU
This is a small nucleolar RNA of Rattus norvegicus (Norway rat), 132 nucleotides long. Ensembl annotates it as small nucleolar RNA SNORA17. Lineage: Eukaryota; Metazoa; Chordata; Mammalia; Rodentia; Muridae. The record is from Ensembl.